This 1120-nucleotide ribosomal RNA is filed under the name Weissella confusa. RNAcentral describes it as "bacterial SSU rRNA". It matches the Rfam family "Bacterial small subunit ribosomal RNA", at positions 42 to 1114 of the family's 1533-position model. The record is from RNAcentral. Lineage: Bacteria; Bacillati; Bacillota; Bacilli; Lactobacillales; Lactobacillaceae.
GCGUGCCUAGUACAUGCAAGUCGAACGCUUUGUGGUUCAACUGAUUUGAAGAGCUUGCUCAGAUAUGACGAUGGACAUUGCAAAGAGCGGCGAACGGGUGAGUAACACGUGGGAAACCUACCUCUUAGCAGGGGAUAACAUUUGGAAACAGAUGCUAAUACCGUAUAACAAUGACAACCGCAUGGUUGUUAUUUAAAAGAUGGUUCUGCUAUCACUAAGAGAUGGUCCCGCGGUGCAUUAGCUAGUUGGUAAGGUAAUGGCUUACCAAGGCGAUGAUGCAUAGCCGAGUUGAGAGACUGAUUGGCCACAAUGGGACUGAGACACGGCCCAUACUCCUACGGGAGGCAGCAGUAGGGAAUCUUCCACAAUGGGCGAAAGCCUGAUGGAGCAACGCCGCGUGUGUGAUGAAGGGUUUCGGCUCGUAAAACACUGUUGUAAGAGAAGAAUGACAUUGAGAGUAACUGUUCAAUGUGUGACGGUAUCUUACCAGAAAGGAACGGCUAAAUACGUGCCAGCAGCCGCGGUAAUACGUAUGUUCCAAGCGUUAUCCGGAUUUAUUGGGCGUAAAGCGAGCGCAGACGGUUAUUUAAGUCUGAAGUGAAAGCCCUCAGCUCAACUGAGGAAUUGCUUUGGAAACUGGAUGACUUGAGUGCAGUAGAGGAAAGUGGAACUCCAUGUGUAGCGGUGAAAUGCGUAGAUAUAUGGAAGAACACCAGUGGCGAAGGCGGCUUUCUGGACUGUAACUGACGUUGAGGCUCGAAAGUGUGGGUAGCAAACAGGGUUAGAUACCCUGGUAGUCCACACCGUAAACGAUGAGUGCUAGGUGUUUUGAGGGUUUCCGCCCUUAAGUGCCGCAGCUAACGCAUUAAGCACUCCGCCCUGGGGGAGUACGACCGCCAAGGUUGAAACUCAAAAGGAAUUGGACGGGGACCCGCACAAGCGGUGGAACCAUGUGGGUUUAAUUCGAAGCAACGCGAAGAACCUUACCAGGUCUUGACAUCCCUUGACAACUCCCGAGAAAGGAGGCGUUCCCUUCCGGGGACAAAGGUGACAAGGUGGGCCCAAGGGUUGUCCUCCACCUCCUGUCCUGGAAAAAUUUGGGUGUAAAUCCCCCCCACCA